This 496-nucleotide ribosomal RNA is filed under the name uncultured bacterium. Its description in RNAcentral is "partial 16S ribosomal RNA". It matches the Rfam family "Bacterial small subunit ribosomal RNA", at positions 28 to 506 of the family's 1533-position model. The record is from RNAcentral.
GAUGAACGCUGGCGGCGUGCCUAAUACAUGCAAGUCGAGCGAACGGACGAGAAGCUUGCUUCUCUGAUGUUAGCGGCGGACGGGUGAGUAACACGUGGAUAACCUACCUAUAAGACUGGGAUAACUUCGGGAAACCGGAGCUAAUACCGGAUAAUAUUUUGAACCGCAUGGUUCAAAAGUGAAAGACGGUCUUGCUGUCACUUAUAGAUGGAUCCGCGCUGCAUUAGCUAGUUGGUAAGGUAACGGCUUACCAAGGCAACGAUGCAUAGCCGACCUGAGAGGGUGAUCGGCCACACUGGAACUGAGACACGGUCCAGACUCCUACGGGAGGCAGCAGUAGGGAAUCUUCCGCAAUGGGCGAAAGCCUGACGGGAGAACGCCGCGUGAGUGAUGAAGGUCUUCGGAUCGUAAAACUCUGUUAUUAGGGAAGAACAUAUGUGUAAGUAACUGUGCACAUCUUGACGGUACCUAAUCAGAAAGCCACGGCGAACUACGU